RNAcentral lists this ribosomal RNA (407 nucleotides) under uncultured bacterium. RNAcentral's name for it is "partial 16S ribosomal RNA". It matches the Rfam family "Bacterial small subunit ribosomal RNA", at positions 30 to 526 of the family's 1533-position model. The record is from RNAcentral.
AUUGAACGCUGGCGGCAGGCCUAACACAUGCAAGUCGAGCGGAGCGGCGGACGGGUGAGUAAUGACUAGGAAGCUGCCUGGUAGUGGGGGAUAACGUCCGGAAAGGGGCGCUAAUACCGCACACUAUCAGUUGCGCCUAGGUGGGAUUAGCUAGCUGGUGGGGUAAAGGCCUACCAAGGCGACGAUCCGUAGCUGGUCUGAGAGGAUGAUCAGUCACACUGGAACUGAGACACGGUCCAGACUCCUACGGGAGGCAGCAGUGGGGAAUAUUGGACAAUGGGCGAAAGCCUGAUCCAGCCAUGCCGCGUGUGUGAAGAAGGUCUUCGGAUUGUAAAGCACUUUAAGUUGGGAGGCGUUACCAACAGAAUAAGCACCGGCUAACUUCGUGCCAGCCGCCGCGGUAAUUC